UCGUCAGCUCGUGUCGUGAGAUGUUGGGUUAAGUCCCGCAACGAGCGCAACCCUUGUUAUUAGUUGCCAGCAUUAAGUUGGGCACUCUAAUGAGACUGCCGGUGACAAACCGGAGGAAGGUGGGGAUGACGUCAAGUCAUCAUGCCCCUUAUGACCUGGGCUACACACGUGCUACAAUGGGCAGUACAACGAGAAGCAAGCCUGCGAAGGCAAGCGAAUCUCUGAAGGCUGUUCUCAGUUCGGACUGCAGUCUGCAACUCGACUGCACGAAGCUGGAAUCGCUAGUAAUCGCGGAUCAGCACGCCGCGGUGAAUACGUUCCCGGGCCUUGUACACACCGCCCGUCACACCAUGGGAGUCUGCAAUGCCCAAAGCCGGUGGCCUAACCUUCGGGAAGGAGCCGUCUAAGGCAGGGCAGAUGACUGGGGUGAAGUCGUAACAAGGUAACCGUA
Molecule: ribosomal RNA, 451 nt
Filed under: uncultured bacterium
Lineage: Bacteria
Description: bacterial SSU rRNA
Rfam family: Bacterial small subunit ribosomal RNA
Source: RNAcentral